This 484-nucleotide ribosomal RNA is filed under the name uncultured bacterium. RNAcentral's name for it is "partial 16S ribosomal RNA". It matches the Rfam family "Bacterial small subunit ribosomal RNA", at positions 30 to 507 of the family's 1533-position model. The record is from RNAcentral.
AUUGAACGCUGGCGGCAGGCCUAACACAUGCAAGUCGAGCGGAUGAAGGGAGCUUGCUCCUGGAUUCAGCGGCGGACGGGUGAGUAAUGCCUAGGAAUCUGCCUGGUAGUGGGGGAUAACGUCCGGAAACGGGCGCUAAUACCGCAUACGUCCUGAGGGAGAAAGUGGGGGAUCUUCGGACCUCACGCCAUCAGAUGAGCCUAGGUCGGAUUAGCUAGUUGGUGGGGUAAAGGCCUACCAAGGCGACGAUCCGUAACUGGUCUGAGAGGAUGAUCAGUCACACUGGAACUGAGACACGGUCCAGACUCCUACGGGAGGCAGCAGUGGGGAAUAUUGGACAAUGGGCGAAAGCCUGAUCCAGCCAUGCCGCGUGUGUGAAGAAGGUCUUCGGAUCGUAAAGCACUUUAAGUUGGGAGGAAGGGCAGUAAGUUAAUACCUUGCUGUUUUGACGUUACCAACAGAAUAAGCACCGGCUAACUUCGUG